GACGAACGCUGGCGGCGUGCUUAACACAUGCAAGUCGAACGGAAAGGCCCUGCUUUUGUGGGGUGCUCGAGUGGCGAACGGGUGAGUAACACGUGAGUAACCUGCCCUUGACUGUGGGAUAACUUCAGGAAACUGGGGCUAAUACCGGAUAGGAGCUCCUGCUGCAUGUGGGGGGUUGGAGAGUGUCGGCGGUGGGGGCUGUACUCGCAGCUUAUCAGCUUGUUGGUGUGGUUGUGGCUGACCAAGGGUUUGACGGGUAGCCGGCCUGAGAGCGUGACCGGCGACAUGGGGACUGAGAGACGGACCAGACUCGUACCGGAGGCAGUAGUGGGAAAUCUUGCACAAUGGGCGGAAGCCUGAUGCAGCAACGCCGCGUGCGGGAUGACGGCCUUCGGGUUGUAAACCGCUUUCGCCUGUGCUGAAGAGUGCGUGACGGUACUGGGUAAAGAAGCAACGGCUAACUACGUG
This 468-nucleotide ribosomal RNA is filed under the name uncultured bacterium. Its description in RNAcentral is "partial 16S ribosomal RNA". It matches the Rfam family "Bacterial small subunit ribosomal RNA", at positions 28 to 507 of the family's 1533-position model. The record is from RNAcentral.